GAUCCUGGCUCAGGAUGAACGCUAGCUACAGGCUUAACACAUGCAAGUCGAGGGGCAGCGGGAUUGAAGCUUGCUUCAAUUGCCGGCGACCGGCGCACGGGUGAGUAACGUGUAUCCAACCUUCCGUACACUCAGGGAUAGCCUUUCGAAGAAAGAUUAAUACCUGAUGGUAUCUUAAGCACACAUGUAAUUAAGAUUAAAGAAUUUAUCGGUGUACGAUGGGGAGUGCGUUCCAUUAGGUAGUAGG
RNAcentral lists this ribosomal RNA (247 nucleotides) under uncultured bacterium. RNAcentral describes it as "partial 16S ribosomal RNA". It matches the Rfam family "Bacterial small subunit ribosomal RNA", at positions 15 to 252 of the family's 1533-position model. The record is from RNAcentral.